UACAGAGGUCUCAAGCGUUGUUCGGAUUCAUUGGGCGUAAAGGGUGCGUAGGCGGCGCGGUAAGUCGGGUGUGAAAUCUCGGAGCUUAACUCCGAAACUGCAUUCGAUACUGCCGUGCUUGAGGACUGGAGAGGAGACUGGAAUUUACGGUGUAGCGGUGAAAUGCGUAGAUAUCGUAAGGAAGACCAGUGGCGAAGGCGGAUCUCUGGACAGUUCCUGACGCUGAGGCACGAAGGUCAGGGGAGCAAACGGG
Molecule: ribosomal RNA, 253 nt
Filed under: uncultured bacterium
Lineage: Bacteria
Description: partial 16S ribosomal RNA
Rfam family: Bacterial small subunit ribosomal RNA
Source: RNAcentral